UACGAAGGGGGCUAGCGUUGCUCGGAAUCACUGGGCGUAAAGCGCACGUAGGCGGAUUGCUAAGUCAGGGGUGAAAUCCUGGAGCUCAACUCCAGAACUGCCUUUGAUACUGGCGAUCUUGAGUCCGGGAGAGGUGAGUGGAACUGCGAGUGUAGAGGUGAAAUUCGUAGAUAUUCGGAAGAACACCAGUGGCGAAGGCGACUCGCUGGACAGACAUUGACGCUGAGGUGCGAAAGCGUGGGGAGCAAACGGG
This 253-nucleotide ribosomal RNA is filed under the name uncultured bacterium. Its description in RNAcentral is "partial 16S ribosomal RNA". It matches the Rfam family "Bacterial small subunit ribosomal RNA", at positions 524 to 776 of the family's 1533-position model. The record is from RNAcentral.